UCACUUCUAUAUCUAGAGGUUGGACUGGU
RNAcentral lists this non-coding RNA (29 nucleotides) under Mus musculus (house mouse). The record is from RNAcentral. Lineage: Eukaryota; Metazoa; Chordata; Mammalia; Rodentia; Muridae.